Molecule: ribosomal RNA, 492 nt
Filed under: uncultured bacterium
Lineage: Bacteria
Description: partial 16S ribosomal RNA
Rfam family: Bacterial small subunit ribosomal RNA
Source: RNAcentral
AGUGAACGCUGGCGGUAGGCCUAACACAUGCAAGUCGAACGGCAGCACAGUAAGAGCUUGCUCUUACGGGUGGCGAGUAUCGGACGGGUGAGGAAUACAUCGGAAUCUACUUUUUCGUGGGGGAUAACGUAGGGAAACUUACUCUAAUACCGCAUACGACCUACUGGUGAAAGCAGGGGAUCUUCGGACCUUGCGCGAUUGAAUUAGCCGAUCUCGGAUUAGCUAGGUGGCGGGUUAAAGGCCCACCAAGGCGACGAUCCGUAGCUGGUCUGAGAGGAUGAUCAGCCACACUGGAACUGAGACACGGUACAGACACCUAGGGGAGGACGCAGUGGGGAAUAUUGGACAAUGGGCGCAAGCGUGAUCCAGCCAUACCGCGUGGGUGAAGACGGACUUCGGGUUGGAAAGUCAUUUUGUUGGGAAAGAAAAGCAGCAGUUUAACACCCCGCGGUUCUGACGGUACCCAAAGAAGAAGCACCGGCUAACUUCGUG